Dendroctonus ponderosae (mountain pine beetle) is the source of this 832-nucleotide long non-coding RNA. RefSeq lists it as uncharacterized. The transcript is spliced from 2 exons. The record is from RefSeq and is a predicted model, not a curated record. NCBI's taxonomy places the organism in Eukaryota, Metazoa, Arthropoda, Insecta, Coleoptera, Curculionidae.
GUCCUGGAAAACCACACAGUAACCUUCAGUCUGCCCAAAAAACGCUGGCUUCGGAAUACUCCUUAUGUACAAACCAAGCUGGAAAUGUACGUGUGAAACACUCGAAUUGGACAAAUGUAGCAGCAGCAACUUAUUUUAUUCUGGUAAGAAAUUUGACCCCCAACCAAGGCAUUUUUUCCUUUAAAUAGCAAAAAGGAUUUCAAUAGCGCACCAUACACGAGCGAAAUAUCUGUCAUAUCUGAGCCAAAUUCGAAGAAAUAUCGGUCCGUUAAUAGCGCCCCAUACACGGGCAGAUUACCCGUACAGUUCAGAUACGUAGAGAUUUGAUUCGACAGAUCCAGAUCGGACGAAUUAAAUCUUUCCCUGCCAACUAAUUAACAUACCAAGCACGAGUGGCGAUUCUUCCAAUGGGAUUGGAGGUAUCAGAUCCGUCCGUAAGUGGAGUGAAAUCUUACGUUUCAGACAGACUUGAUCUGGCGCGUGGUAUUUCAAGUGAGCUAAAAGAUUUGGUCGUGGCAGAGCAGAUUAGUUAAACUAAGUGUUUAAAAUGCGAAGCAAGAAACGGAUAGCUAUUGCUUGUGCUGGCAUCAUAGUGUUUUCAGAAAAUCUACUCAAAAAAAAUGAAAAUAAAGUGAGUAGACCGGAGACUAUAGACUGGAAGGGCGUCGGCAGCCAUAGGGAAAAAUGAGGCAAAAAAAAUUAAAAAUCGAAUGCACGCUGGGAUUUUUUUUUAUAAACACGUUGUUAUUAAAACAAUUAAAUACAUAAUUAUAGAAAAACAAACAAACGAUACAAACCGAACUAAUUAAAACCAACGUUAAAAAGGCAAAUU